CCCUUGGCUGAAAUCGUCUUAAGAGAGGUAGAGGCUAAAGUUCUGCAUAUGUUCCGCAACAGUAUGAGGUUCUAUUUGUGCUACGUUGAUGACAUCAUGACCGUUUGGGACAAAGGGGCAAAGCCUGAAGGUUCAGUGGAACAACUUUCGAUAGAAUCUUAUGGCCUCGUACUAAAAUUACAACAAUUAAGUUGCUUUUCUGCACACUUCUUAGUUAUUAGUUUGAAGAUAGAGAACAAAAAAUUAGAAACAUCUGUGUACAGAGGAUCAUCCUAUGAACCCAUUAUUAUCCCGGGAUGUUCCUCGGAUCCAAUGAG
RNAcentral lists this long non-coding RNA (317 nucleotides) under Androctonus crassicauda. The record is from RNAcentral. Lineage: Eukaryota; Metazoa; Arthropoda; Arachnida; Scorpiones; Buthidae.